CACCUCAAACUUUGCUUUUGGCUAUGGAUACUAGUAAUGAUGCUGCUUGGAUUCCUUGUACUGCUUGUGAUGGUUGUGCUUCAACUUUGUUUGCUCCUGAAAAAUCAACUACAUUUAAGAAUGUUAGUUGUGCUGCUCCUGAAUGCAAACAGGUAUUUACUUCACUAACAAAGACACAUUUUUUUGUCAAGGUUUUCGUGACUAGGUAUAUUUUUAUAUUGGCGUAAAUUUGAUAAAAUUAUGAUAGUACUAUGAUUUCGUGAAACUUUAAAAUGUAGUUUUUGUUAAAAAAUUACGAAGGUUCAUCUUGAUUCUGAUAAUCUCAUCACCGUGAAUCUAAACAUUGGAAGAAAAUUAUGGUUUUAAAUUGUGGUUGUGGUCGUGACUUUGAUAUGGUGACACGAUACAAAUGAUGCAAUUGCAAUUAUCGUCACGAUGUUGCUAAGACAUCUAAAACUUUAUAAUGUUGCUAUAAUUGUUUGCAAACCCUAAUUUAAAAAUCUGAGUUGAUUUCAAUUUCCAAGCUCUCACAUCUAUUUUUUAUUUUGAUUCUUUGCCUUUUUCUUCAUAAACAUUUUUUUCGGUGCAAUGAUUUAUUUUUACUCCAAGGUAUUUAUUCUAAUAAUUUGCUAGUACCUUCAUUAAAAAUUGAAAUAUUUUGAUUUUUGAUUAUAUGCAAAAUCUAUUCAUGGUUUUCAUGUUUUGUUAACUAGCUAGUGGAUUAUGCAUUAUUAAAAUCACAACAAUUGUGAAAUAUUUGUUGAAAAAGGUAAUCUGUUUAAUAUAUGAUCAUACUUUAAGAAAAGAUGUGAUUUGAAUACUUUACAGUUUUUUAUUUCGUAAUCAGCAUCAUAACAUAAGAUACUAUAUUUUUAUUUUGUAAUCAUAUCCAAAGAUACUCCUUAUUUUGUCGAUUGUCAUAUUUCUAUUCUAUUUUAAAAUUUAAAACAAUCACGUGACCUCAAAUGCCACAAGGUACACAUCGCUACUGUGAAUGUUUUUGUACUCUAGUGAAGUGUACAUAAAAAUUUGUUUGAACUGGUGAAAGAUUUGUUUUGAGGAUGCCAAUAAAAUUAUUGAAUCACUACAUGAUAUUUAGUGUAGAAGUGAGCCAAUUAAAUUCUUCAAAUUAAUGGAAUUUUUAUAUGAUCCCUAAAAAUUACUAAAAUACUUGGUCACUUUGUUACGUGACAAUUGUAAAACUAAUUUGAUCGACUAAAAGAUAAAAGAAUAUCCUUCUGGUUGUAUUUAUAAGCAAUUUUUUUUUAUAACUGAUGUGUUUGGAUUAUAAUAUAUUUCAGAUACAUCAGUUAUUAUGUUUUAAAAAAAAAAAAAUACAUCUGUUAUUUAAUAAAUCUAAAAAAACAAAAAUAUUUAUAAAUAUGAUCGGAAAAAGUAUUAUAUAUCGUCGUAAAAUAGAGCUUAAAUUAUCUUAGACAAACUACUUAAAUUAUCUUUACUUGGACAAAAGUUCACAUGACAUACAGCUUGGCACGAAUCUUUUACCUUUACUUGCCGUUGAAGGGUAAUUACUAGUUUCACAAUGAAAGGGACUACAAGGAGAGAUUAUUUGAUCACAUUGAAACGUGCAACUUUUGUCCCAUUGUAGGUGGGGUUGACUUAUAUCCUAGCCCAAUCUAUGAAUCCAAAAUAUUGAAAGCUAUGUGCUCUCUAUGGCAGGCAAAGGUUCACGAGACUUGGAGUCUUCUAAAAUCUAAAUGCACUUUUUCCAAUGAUGUAAUCAUGGUUUAAAAAUUGGAUUGAAACCGUCGUAUUAAUCGGUCAAUAAAAAUUGACCGAUUUAUCAGUUGGUUUAUUUUCGACAGUUUUAAAUUCUAUUAGUUGAAUUAGAUUGAUAUGAGUUGAAUAGAUUGAAUUGAAUUCUAGUUGAAUUAGAUUGAACUAGGUUGAGUUGAUUGAAUUGUAAAUGACGAAAAAAUUCAAAAAUCGAUUAAUACAUUGGUUGGUUUAUUCUGGUCUAAUAACCAUUGAAUGGAUUGAACCAUGAUCAGUCUUAUUAAUUCAUUCUCCAUCUCAUUUUUGAAACAUUGGUAUUAAUGUGAACAUUUUAUUUUGUUUCAUUUUUCAGGUACCUAACCCUGGUUGUGGUGUGAGCUCAUGCAAUUUCAACCUAACCUAUGGCAGUUCCUCUAUUGCAGCUAACUUGGUACAAGACACUAUUAC
Molecule: long non-coding RNA, 2184 nt
Filed under: Medicago truncatula (barrel medic)
Lineage: Eukaryota; Viridiplantae; Streptophyta; Magnoliopsida; Fabales; Fabaceae
Description: long non-coding RNA (MTRU_LNC001145)
Source: RNAcentral